UAGGGAAUCUUCGGCAAUGGACGAAAGUCUGACCGAGCAACGCCGCGUGAGUGAAGAAGGUUUUCGGAUCGUAAAACUCUGUUGUUAGAGAAGAACAAGGACGUUAGUAACUGAACGUCCCCUGACGGUAUCUAACCAGAAAGCCACGGCUAACUACGUGCCAGCAGCCGCGGUAAUACGUAGGUGGCAAGCGUUGUCCGGAUUUAUUGGGCGUAAAGCGAGCGCAGGCGGUUUCUUAAGUCUGAUGUGAAAGCCCCCGGCUCAACCGGGGAGGGUCAUUGGAAACUGGGAGACUUGAGUGCAGAAGAGGAGAGUGGAAUUCCAUGUGUGGCGGUGAAAUGCGUAGUUAUAUGGAGGAACACCAGUGGCGAAGGCGGCUCUCUGGUCUGUAACUGACGCUGAGGCUCGAAAGCGUGGGGAGCAAACAGG
This 429-nucleotide ribosomal RNA is filed under the name Gemmatimonadota bacterium. RNAcentral's name for it is "Gemmatimonadetes bacterium partial 16S ribosomal RNA". It matches the Rfam family "Bacterial small subunit ribosomal RNA", at positions 355 to 776 of the family's 1533-position model. The record is from RNAcentral. Lineage: Bacteria; Pseudomonadati; Gemmatimonadota.